Small nuclear RNA from Phyllostomus discolor (pale spear-nosed bat), 104 nucleotides. NCBI's taxonomy places the organism in Eukaryota, Metazoa, Chordata, Mammalia, Chiroptera, Phyllostomidae. The record is from RefSeq and is a predicted model, not a curated record.
GUGCUUGCUUUGGCAGCACAUACACUAAAAUUGAAACAAUACAGAGAUUAGCAUGGACCCUGCUCAAGGAUAACAUGCAAAUUAAUGACGCAUUCCAUUAUUUU